GAGAUUCCCCCAGCAGCGGCGAGCGAACGGGGAGCAGCCCAGAGCCUGAAUCAGUGUGUGUGUUAGUGGAAGCGUCUGGAAAGGCGUGCGAUACAGGGUGACAGCCCCGUACACAAAAAUGCACAUAUUGUGAGCUCGAUGAGUAGGGCGGGACACGUGGUAUCCUGUCUGAAUAUGGGGGGACCAUCCUCCAAGGCUAAAUACUCCUGACUGACCGAUAGUGAACCAGUACCGUGAGGGAAAGGCGAAAAGAAC
This 255-nucleotide ribosomal RNA is filed under the name Escherichia coli. Its description in RNAcentral is "partial 23S ribosomal RNA". It matches the Rfam family "Bacterial large subunit ribosomal RNA", at positions 231 to 524 of the family's 2925-position model. The record is from RNAcentral. Lineage: Bacteria; Pseudomonadati; Pseudomonadota; Gammaproteobacteria; Enterobacterales; Enterobacteriaceae.